UACGGGGGGGCAAGCGUUGUUCGGAAUUAUUGGGCGUAAAGAGCUCGUAGGCGGUUUGUCGCGUCUGCUGUGAAAACUCGGGGCUUAACCCCGGGCCUGCAGUGGGUACGGGCAGACUAGAGUGCGGUAGGGGAGACUGGAAUUCCUGGUGUAGCGGUGAAAUGCGCAGAUAUCAGGAGGAACACCGGUGGCGAAGGCGGGUCUCUGGGCCGUAACUGACGCUGAGGAGCGAAAGCGUGGGGAGCGAACAGG
This 252-nucleotide ribosomal RNA is filed under the name uncultured bacterium. RNAcentral describes it as "partial 16S ribosomal RNA". It matches the Rfam family "Bacterial small subunit ribosomal RNA", at positions 524 to 776 of the family's 1533-position model. The record is from RNAcentral.